AGGGGUAGGGGAGCUUACUAUGGUAGGUAGAAGCAUGACCGGAAGGACAUGUGGACGAGAUAGUAGUGAGAAUGCCGGAAUAAGUAGCGAGAGUGAAGUGAGAAUCUUUACCGUCGAAAAUCUAAGGUUUCCUGGGGAAGGUUCGUCCGCCCAGGGUAAGUCGGGACCUAAGCCGAGGCCGAAAGGCGUAGGCGAUGGGGAACAGGUUGAAAUUCCUGUACUACCGCUGCUCGAUUGAGAGAAGUGGGGACGCAGGGGGAUAGGUCAAGCGAGUGACUGGAAGAGCUCGUCCAAGCGGCAAGUAGAGUCCGGUAGGCAAAUCCGCCGGAUGAUUAUGAGCCGUGAUGGGGAGGGAAAAUAUAGUACCGAAGUGACCGAUUUCGCACUGACGAGAAAAGCCACUAUCGAGAGUAGAGGUACCCGUACCGCAAACCGACACAGGUAGGUGAGGAGAGAAUCCUAAGACGAGCGGGAGAAGCGUUGUUAAGGAACUCGGCAAAUUGACCCCGUAAGUUCGCGAGAAGGGGUGCCUGUGAGAUCAGGCCGCAGUGAAAAGGCCCAAGCAACUGUUUAGCAAAAACACAGGUCUCUGCUAAAUCGAAAGAUGAAGUAUAGGGGCUGACGCCUGCCCGGUGCUGGAAGGUUACGGGGAUCUGUUAGCGCAAGCGAAGCAGUGAACUUAAGCCCCAGUAAACGGCGGCCGUAACUAUAACGGUCCUAAGGUAGCGAAAUUCCUUGUCGGGUAAGUUCCGACCCGCACGAAUGGCGUAAUGAUUUGGGCACUGUCUCAACAACGUCCCCGGCGAAAUUGUAGUACUUGUGAAGAUGCAAGUUACCCGCGACAAGACGGAAAGACCCCAUGGAGCUUUACUGUAGCCUGAUACUGGGUUUCGGUAUUCUUUGUACAGGAUAGGUGGGAGAUAGGGAAGUGUGGACGCCAGUCUGCAUGGAAUCGCCGUUGGGAUACCACUCUAAGGGUACUGGGACUCUAACCUGAGGCCAUGAGCUGGUCUAGGGACACUGUCAGGUGGGCAGUUUGACUGGGGCGGUCGCCUCCUAAAAGGUAACGGAGGCGUCCAAAGGUUACCUCAGCGCGGUUGGAAAUCGCGCAUC
RNAcentral lists this ribosomal RNA (1113 nucleotides) under bioreactor metagenome. RNAcentral describes it as "bacterial LSU rRNA". It matches the Rfam family "Bacterial large subunit ribosomal RNA", at positions 1224 to 2346 of the family's 2925-position model. The record is from RNAcentral.